CAUUUUGGGAACCGCAUGGUUCGAAAUUGAAAGGCGGCUUCGGCUGUCACUUAUGGAUGGACCCGCGUCGCAUUAGCUAGUUGGUGAGGUAACGGCUCACCAAGGCAACGAUGCGUAGCCGACCUGAGAGGGUGAUCGGCCACACUGGGACUGAGACACGGCCCAGACUCCUACGGGAGGCAGCAGUAGGGAAUCUUCCGCAAUGGACGAAAGUCUGACGGAGCUAACGCCGCGUGAGUGAUGAAGGCUUUCGGGUCGUAAAACUCUGUUGUUAGGGAAGAACAAGUGCUAGUUGAAUAAGCUGGCACCUUGACGGUACCUAACCAGAAAGCCACGGCUAACUACGUGCCAGCAGCCGCGGUAAUACGUAGGUGGCAAGCGUUAUCCGGAAUUAUUGGGCGCUCUAAAGCGCGCGCAGGUGGUUUCUUAAGUCUGAUGUGAAAGCCCACGGCGUCAACCGUGGAGGGUCAUUGGAAACUGGGAGACUUGAGUGCAGAAGAGGAAAGUGGAAUUCCAUGGUGUAGCGGUGAAAUGCGUAGAGAUAUGGAGGAACACCAGUUGGCGAAAGCGACUUUCUGGUCUGUAACUGACACU
Molecule: ribosomal RNA, 594 nt
Filed under: Bacillus cereus
Lineage: Bacteria; Bacillati; Bacillota; Bacilli; Caryophanales; Bacillaceae
Description: bacterial SSU rRNA
Rfam family: Bacterial small subunit ribosomal RNA
Source: RNAcentral